UACGGAGGGGGCUAGCGUUGUUCGGAAUUACUGGGCGUAAAGCGCACGUAGGCGGCUUUGUAAGUUAGAGGUGAAAGCCCGGGGCUCAACUCCGGAAUUGCCUUUAAGACUGCAUCGCUAGAAUUGUGGAGAGGUAAGUGGAAUUCCGAGUGUAGAGGUGAAAUUCGUAGAUAUUGGGAAGAACACCGGUGGCGAAGGCGGCUCACUGGCUCGUAACUGACGCUCAGGCGCGACAGCGUGGGGAUCAAACAGG
This 253-nucleotide ribosomal RNA is filed under the name uncultured bacterium. RNAcentral describes it as "partial 16S ribosomal RNA". It matches the Rfam family "Bacterial small subunit ribosomal RNA", at positions 524 to 776 of the family's 1533-position model. The record is from RNAcentral.